GAGGGUAUAGCUCAGUGGCAGAGUGUACACUUAGCAUACAUGAAGUCCUGGGUUUAAUUCCCAGUACCUCCA
Molecule: transfer RNA, 72 nt
Filed under: Camelus bactrianus (Bactrian camel)
Lineage: Eukaryota; Metazoa; Chordata; Mammalia; Artiodactyla; Camelidae
Also listed under: 2 other names
Rfam family: tRNA
About the family: Transfer RNA (tRNA) molecules are approximately 80 nucleotides in length. Their secondary structure includes four short double-helical elements and three loops (D, anti-codon, and T loops).
Source: Rfam by way of RNAcentral